UUGGCCCAGUUUUUAAACUACGCUCAACUCCACCUCAUCUAACCCGCACGCACGUUCUCACGCACGUUCUCACACACGUUCUCACACAGACCCCUAUUAGGUAAGGGGUUAGGAUUAACUAGUUAGGAGGUUACGGUUAGAUUUGGGUUAUAUAACUAAUCUGGAGUUAGAGUGUUAGAGUGGGAUAAGAUUCAGACCACGGCAUUACAACCAGGUUCCACUCUCAGAAAGGGAUUGAUAAUUACACCGCUGACCCGGCGAAUUACGGAUCGUGUAUACACUUAAUAUGCAAAAUAACUAGCAGUUCAAACGAAAUAAAGUAGAAUAGAUACAUAACUGAGUGCGAAUCAUCUGCAUCA
Molecule: small RNA, 359 nt
Filed under: Histoplasma capsulatum
Lineage: Eukaryota; Fungi; Ascomycota; Eurotiomycetes; Onygenales; Ajellomycetaceae
Also listed under: 1 other name
Description: hypothetical RNA
Source: RNAcentral